AGUGGCGGACGGGUGAGUAAUGUCUGGGAAACUGCCUGAUGGAGGGGGAUAACUACUGGAAACGGUAGCUAAUACCGCAUAACGUCGCAAGACCAAAGAGGGGGACCUUCGGGCCUCUUGCCAUCAGAUGUGCCCAGAUGGGAUUAGCUAGUAGGUGGGGUAACGGCUCACCUAGGCGACGAUCCCUAGCUGGUCUGAGAGGAUGACCAGCCACACUGGAACUGAGACACGGUCCAGACUCCUACGGGAGGCAGCAGUGGGGAAUAUUGCACAAUGGGCGCAAGCCUGAUGCAGCCAUGCCGCGUGUAUGAAGAAGGCCUUCGGGUUGUAAAGUACUUUCAGCGGGGAGGAAGGGAGUAAAGUUAAUACCUUUGCUCAUUGACGUUACCCGCAGAAGAAGCACCGGCUAACUCCGUGCCAGCAGCCGCGGUAAUAUGGAGGGUGCAAGCGUUAAUCGGAAUUACUGGGCGUAAAGCGCACGCAGGCGGUUUGUUAAGUCAGAUGUGAAAUCCCCGGGCUCAACCUGGGAACUGCAUCUGAUACUGGCAAG
RNAcentral lists this ribosomal RNA (550 nucleotides) under uncultured bacterium. Its description in RNAcentral is "bacterial SSU rRNA". It matches the Rfam family "Bacterial small subunit ribosomal RNA", at positions 94 to 640 of the family's 1533-position model. The record is from RNAcentral.